GAUGAACGCUGGCGGCGUGCUUAACACAUGCAAGUCGAGCGAGUGAGUUCUUCGGAACGAUCUAGCGGCGGACGGGUGAGUAACACGUGGGCAACCUGCCUCAUAGAGGGGAAUUGCCUCCCGAAAGGGAGAUUAAUACCGCAUAAAAUUAUCGAGUGGCAUCACAUGAUAAUCAAAGGAGUAAUCCGCUAUGAGAUGGGCCCGUGGCGCAUUAGCUAGUUGGUGAGGUAACGGCUCACCAAGGCGACGAUCCGUAGCCGACCUGAGAGGGUGAUCGGCCACAUUGGGACUGAGACACGGCCCAGACUCCUACGGGAGGCAGCAGUGGGGAAUAUUGCACAAUGGGGGAAACCCUGAUGCAGCAACGCCGCGUGAGUGAUGAAGGUCUUCGGAUUGUAAAGCUCUGUCUUUGGGGACGAUAAUGACGGUACCCAAGGAGGAAGCCACGGCUAACUACGUGCCAGCCGCCGCCGUAA
Molecule: ribosomal RNA, 476 nt
Filed under: uncultured bacterium
Lineage: Bacteria
Description: partial 16S ribosomal RNA
Rfam family: Bacterial small subunit ribosomal RNA
Source: RNAcentral